RNAcentral lists this ribosomal RNA (1326 nucleotides) under Sarcophaga graciliforceps. Its description in RNAcentral is "16S ribosomal RNA". The stretch from base 1075 to 1234 matches the Rfam family "Archaeal large subunit ribosomal RNA", at positions 2544 to 2703 of the family's 2987-position model. The record is from RNAcentral. Lineage: Eukaryota; Metazoa; Arthropoda; Insecta; Diptera; Sarcophagidae.
UUAUAUUUUAUUUAUUAAUUAAUUUUUUUUUUAUUAUAAAUUAUUAAAAGUAAUUAUUAUGUGAAUUGUUUGAGUAUUUUAUAAAGAAAAAAUAAUUUUAAUUAUAGUUAAAUAGUAUUGUGAAAGAAAAUUGAAAUAAUUUGAAAAAUUAAUAUUUUAAAAGAAAAUUUAAUUUAUUGUACCUUGUGUAUCAGGGUUUAUUAAAUAAAAAUUAUUUAGUAUAAUUUUCUCGAUUUUAAAAGAGUUAAUAUAUUAUAAAAGUUAAUGUGAUAAAAUUAUUUUGUAUAAUAUAUUAGAAAUGAAAUGUUAUUCGUUUUUAAAGGUAUCUAGUUCUUUAAGAAAUAAAUUUAAUUUAGAAAUUUUAUAUUAUUUAAUUAAGUAUAUUAAUUAAAUAAUUAUUUUAUUUUAAUAUUUUAUGGGAUAAGCUAUAAAAUAAAUUAUUAUAAAUUAGUAAAUAAGUUUAUAAAUAUAAGCUUAGAAAUAGCUAUUAUUAAUAAAAUUGUUAUAAUUUAUUUUAUAAUAUUGAUUAUUUAUUGAAUUUUAAUUAAGUAUUAAAGUAUUUAUUUUAAUUUUAAAAAUAAAAAAAUAAUGAUAAAAUUAGUAUAUUAUAUUGUAUAAAUAUUAGUAAUUGAUAAGUUUUUAUAAAGAACUCGGCAAAAAUAAUGUUCGCCUGUUUAACAAAAACAUGUCUUUUUGAAUUUUUUUAAAAGUCUAGCCUGCCCACUGAAUAAUUUAAAUGGCCGCAGUAUACUAACUGUGCAAAGGUAGCAUAAUCAUUAGUCUUUUAAUUGAAGGCUGGUAUGAAUGGUUGGACGAGAUAUUAACUGUUUCAUAAAAAUUUAUAAUAGAAUUUUAUUUUUUAGUCAAAAAGCUAAAAUAAAAUUAAAAGACGAGAAGACCCUAUAAAUCUUUAUAUAUUUAAAUUAUUGUAAUUUUGUAGAUUUUUUUUAUUAUAAUAAUUAAUUAUAUUUUAUUGGGGUGAUAUUAAAAUUUAAUAAACUUUUAAUUUUUAAAAUCAUUAAUUUAUGAGUAAUUGAUCCGUUAAUAACGAUUAAAAAAAUAAGUUACUUUAGGGAUAACAGCGUAAUUUUUUUGGAGAGUUCAUAUCGAUAAAAAAGAUUGCGACCUCGAUGUUGGAUUAAGAUAUAAUUUUAGGUGUAGCCGCUUAAAUUUUAAGUCUGUUCGACUUUUAAAUUCUUACAUGAUCUGAGUUCAAACCGGCGUAAGCCAGGUUGGUUUCUAUCUUUAAUAAAUUAAAAUAUUUCAGUACGAAAGGACCUAAUAUUUAAUAAAUAAUUAUUUUUAUAUUGAAUAUAAUUAAUUUAU